This 75-nucleotide transfer RNA is filed under the name Garra flavatra. RNAcentral describes it as "tRNA-Leu". It matches the Rfam family "tRNA". Rfam says of the family: Transfer RNA (tRNA) molecules are approximately 80 nucleotides in length. The record is from RNAcentral. Lineage: Eukaryota; Metazoa; Chordata; Actinopteri; Cypriniformes; Cyprinidae.
AUUGGGGUGGCAGAGCAUGGCAAAUGCAAAAGGUCUAAGCCCUUUAAACCGUGGGUUCAAAUCCCUCCCCCAACU